RNAcentral lists this transfer RNA (68 nucleotides) under Marmota monax (woodchuck). RNAcentral's name for it is "tRNA.Ala". It matches the Rfam family "tRNA", at positions 6 to 65 of the family's 71-position model. Rfam says of the family: Transfer RNA (tRNA) molecules are approximately 80 nucleotides in length. Lineage: Eukaryota; Metazoa; Chordata; Mammalia; Rodentia; Sciuridae. The record is from RNAcentral.
GGAUGUGGCUCAAGUGGUAGAGUGCUUGCCUGGCAUGCAGGAGGCACUGGGUUUGAUCCUUAGCACCA